AACGCUAGCUACAGGCUUAACACAUGCAAGUCGAGGGGAAACGAUAGAGAAAGCUUGCUUUUUCUAGGCGUCGACCGGCGCACGGGUGAGUAACGCGUAUCCAACCUGCCCACCACUUGGGGAUAACCUUGCGAAAGUAAGACUAAUACCCAAUGAUAUCUCUAGAAGACAUCUGAAAGGGAUUAAAGAUUUAUCGGUGAUGGAUGGGGAUGCGUCUGAUUAGCUUGUUGGCGGGGUAACGGCCCACCAAGGCUACGAUCAGUAGGGGUUCUGAGAGGAAGGUCCCCCACAUUGGAACUGAGACACGGUCCAAACUCCUACGGGAGGCAGCAGUGAGGAAUAUUGGUCAAUGGGCGAGAGCCUGAACCAGCCAAGUAGCGUGCAGGAUGACGGCCCUAUGGGUUGUAAACUGCUUUUAUAAGGGAAUAAAGUGAGUCUCGUGAGACUUUUUGCAUGUACCUUAUGAAUAAGGACCGGCUAAUUCCGCGCCAGUAGCCGCGGUAAUACGGAAGGUCCGGGUGUUAUCCGGAUUUAUUGGGUUUAAAGGGAGUGUAGGCCGGAGAUUAAGCGUGUUGUGAAAUGUAGAUGCUCAACAUCUGCACUGCAGCGCGAACUGGUUUCCUUGAGUACGCACAAAGUGGGCGGAAUUCGUGGUGUAGCGGUGAAAUGCUUAGAUAUCACGAAGAACUCCGAUUG
RNAcentral lists this ribosomal RNA (696 nucleotides) under uncultured bacterium. RNAcentral describes it as "bacterial SSU rRNA". It matches the Rfam family "Bacterial small subunit ribosomal RNA", at positions 32 to 715 of the family's 1533-position model. The record is from RNAcentral.